GCUGGGUGCGGUGGUGCACGCCUGUCAUCCCAGAGACUCGGGAGGCUGAGGCAGGAGGAUCGCAAGUUCAAAGCCAGCCUCAGCAACUUAUGGGGCCCUCAGCGACUCAGUGAGACCCUGUCUCAA
This 126-nucleotide small RNA is filed under the name Marmota monax (woodchuck). The record is from RNAcentral. Lineage: Eukaryota; Metazoa; Chordata; Mammalia; Rodentia; Sciuridae.